This is a long non-coding RNA of Solanum verrucosum, 725 nucleotides long. RefSeq lists it as uncharacterized. The record is from RefSeq and is a predicted model, not a curated record. NCBI's taxonomy places the organism in Eukaryota, Viridiplantae, Streptophyta, Magnoliopsida, Solanales, Solanaceae. The transcript is spliced from 2 exons.
CCAAAAGCAUUUAAAGGAUACCUCCGAAGAAAUCACUACAAUGUUCUCCCUUGCACUGUACCUCUCUGGAAUCAGGUUGUUUUUUCACUUCUUUACAAGUUUAAAGGUAGAAAUUUCUUCAUUUCCUUACAAUUUUUGAACUCUGAAAUCAGUUGUAGAUAUAUGUACUCUGAACUAUGAAGAGUCCAAUGGUGGAAUGGGUUAUAUCUAUGAUCAACUGGAAAACCCGAGCAAACAAAAACUCUUUCUGAUUAGGGGUGAUAAUCGCAAUGACGAUGGUCUGUUACCUAUACUAGGUAACAUAAAUCUUUGACCUAGAUAUACGGGGUCCUGAUGGAAAAGAGUACUUGUUAAUGUCGGAUGAGGAGUUGAUGAUGCGGUGUUAAAUGAGUACUCUCAAAGCUUCAGGUCCUGUUGGACAGCAUUGCAACAAGCGUGUAUUCUCUGUGCAUUUGAAGCAUAACCCAACAAGGAUUGUUCAUGAGGUUUGGUUUGAUGCUUUGGUAAAUUUUUAUGAUGCUUUUACAUUUUUAACUGAAAUUUUAUUUGUUUAGGUGUUUGAUUCUUUUUAAAUUCUUAAACCAUGGGGGGAUAGUUCCCAACACAUGAAUUGUGUGUCUGCUUUAUCUUCUUUGUGAGCGUUAUCGUCUCUUAAAGUUGUUUCCCUGCUACAGUUCAAGCUUCCCAAGUUUCAUUUGCUUCAUUUCCUGACAGCUAUGCCUGAG